UUCCCAAGCCUCUCGCAUCUCUCUCUCGUUCUCUCGCGGCGGCGUCCAGAUGUGGAACCUCGCCGAUCCUCCUGCCCCUUCCACCCCUCUCCCCCUCCCUCCUGCAGUCCUGCUCCACCCCUCACUCUCCUCUAGCCGUGAUUUUCUGCGUCCGAUGCGGCGGCUGGGAUGUGGCGGCUGAGGCAAAGGUUUGCGGGGAAGCAGGUCCAUUGAAGCCGACGGUGGCGUCGGAUGGAUGCAGCGGCAGCGAAGACAGUGGCAUGCUGUUUUCAUGGAGAAGGUGGAGGUGACUGCUGGAUGCGGUGCCGUUGGGGAUCUGAUGCAGAUUUCCUUUUUUUUCUCUAUUCUUGGUUCUUCUAUGUUCUUGGUACUUGCUAGUUCAUACAGGUGAAUUAAAAUCAUUUAUUUUUUUCCCUGAUUGGAGGGAUGCUAUCUUUUCUCUGACAAAUGUAAAAAUUAGUUCUUUCAUCUGAAUUGAGAGCAAUUCUUUUUUUUUUCAGAUUGCUGAGAUGUCUCUUCUUUCGGCAGUGCAAAUAUUCGAUUUAUUUUGCCUUUUUUUUCUGUC
RNAcentral lists this small RNA (565 nucleotides) under Oryza sativa Japonica Group (Japanese rice). Its description in RNAcentral is "sRNA Os02g0834050". Lineage: Eukaryota; Viridiplantae; Streptophyta; Magnoliopsida; Poales; Poaceae. The record is from RNAcentral.